RNAcentral lists this ribosomal RNA (571 nucleotides) under uncultured bacterium. Its description in RNAcentral is "partial 16S ribosomal RNA". It matches the Rfam family "Bacterial small subunit ribosomal RNA", at positions 355 to 920 of the family's 1533-position model. The record is from RNAcentral.
UGGGGAAUUUUGGACAAUGGGCGAAAGCCUGAUCCAGCAAUGCCGCGUGUGUGAAGAAGGCCUUCGGGUUGUAAAGCACUUUUGUCCGGAAAGAAAUCCUUGGCUCUAAUACAGUCGGGGGAUGACGGUACCGGAAGAAUAAGCACCGGCUAACUACGUGCCAGCAGCCGCGGUAAUACGUAGGGUGCAAGCGUUAAUCGGAAUUACUGGGCGUAAAGCGUGCGCAGGCGGUUUGCUAAGACCGAUGUGAAAUCCCCGGGCUCAACCUGGGAACUGCAUUGGCGACUGGCAGGCUAGAGUAUGGCAGAGGGGGGUAGAAUUCCACGUGUAGCAGUGAAAUGCGUAGAGAUGUGGAGGAAUACCGAUGGCGAAGGCAGCCCCCUGGGCCAAUACUGACGCUCAUGCACGAAAGCGUGGGGAGCAAACAGGAUUAGAUACCCUGGUAGUCCACGCCCUAAACGAUGUCAACUAGUUGUUGGGGAUUCAUUCCUUAGUAACGUAGCUAACGCGUGAAGUUGACCGCCUGGGGAGUACGGUCGCAAGAUUAAAACUCAAAUGAAUUGACGGGGUC